Molecule: transfer RNA, 66 nt
Filed under: Chthonerpeton indistinctum
Lineage: Eukaryota; Metazoa; Chordata; Amphibia; Gymnophiona; Typhlonectidae
Description: tRNA-Phe
Source: RNAcentral
GUCCUAGUAGCUUAACAAAGCAUGGCACUGAAGCCGCCAAGAUGAAACUAACUACUUCCGCGGACA